Molecule: long non-coding RNA, 477 nt
Organism: Epinephelus moara (kelp grouper)
Lineage: Eukaryota; Metazoa; Chordata; Actinopteri; Perciformes; Serranidae
Exons: 4
Source: RefSeq, a predicted model, not a curated record
CUGCCCCGUGUUUCCAAUCAGCAGCAGUGUGUGAAUCAGACUGAACUCUAAAGCUGAUGACAUUUUCACACUGAUGAAAAAACACUGGCCAUCGAGCCUCAAGAGGGAGGACUUUAACAGACGCCUUCAUGAAGAACAAGUCUCCUGGACCCUCCACCCUCUGGUUCCCACGUGGAGUCCCUACAGACUGAUCUACCACCGCCCAGCUAGAUCUACAAAGAGCUGUCGGGCAGUCUGAUCACAGAGGAAGGCUGUACCUCUCUGGCCUCAGCUCUGAGAUCCAACCCCUCCCAUCUGAGAGAGCUGGAUCUGAGCUACAACCAUCCAGGAGACUCAGGAGUGAAGCUGCUGAUGGAUGGACUGAAGGAUCCACACUGGAGACUGGAGACUCUCAGGAGUUACUUCACUGCUGCUACGUCAUCUCCUUCUUCUUCUUCUGGAUGGGCGGAGCCUCUGAGUCAGCACACCUGUGUCACC